CCUACGGGAGGCAGCAGUCGGGAAUUUUGGGCAAUGGGGGCAACCCUGACCCAGCAACGCCGCGUGAGGGAUGAAGGCCUUCGGGUCGUAAACCUCUGUCAGGAGGGAAGAAGGUGGCCGGGGAAAACAUUCCCGGUCACCUGACGGUACCUCCAAAGGAAGCACCGGCUAACUCCGUGCCAGCAGCCGCGGU
RNAcentral lists this ribosomal RNA (193 nucleotides) under uncultured bacterium. Its description in RNAcentral is "partial 16S ribosomal RNA". It matches the Rfam family "Bacterial small subunit ribosomal RNA", at positions 338 to 521 of the family's 1533-position model. The record is from RNAcentral.